RNAcentral lists this ribosomal RNA (492 nucleotides) under Pholcus mascaensis. RNAcentral describes it as "partial 16S ribosomal RNA". It matches the Rfam family "Bacterial large subunit ribosomal RNA", at positions 1907 to 2710 of the family's 2925-position model. The record is from RNAcentral. Lineage: Eukaryota; Metazoa; Arthropoda; Arachnida; Araneae; Pholcidae.
GCUCAAUGAAAACUCAAUAAAUAGCCGCAGUUCACCUGUGCUAAGGUAGCAUAAUAAUUUGCUUCUUAAUUAGAAGAUAGAAUGAAUGGUCACACAUCAAAAGUAUAUUUCUCUCAGACUUAACUAAAUUAAAAUUAAAGUCAAAAUUCUUUUAAGUACAGCGGGACGACAAGACCCUGAUAAACUUAACAUUUAGUUGGGGAAACACCUUAAAAACACUUUAAUAAUUCAAACUACAUAACUUUCAAGCAAAAUCGAGAUUAGUUACUACAGGGAUAACAGCGUCAUUUCUUUUCAGAGACCUUAUCUAAAAAGAAGAUUACGACCUCGAUGUUGAAUUAAUUUACCUAUAAAGUGCAAAAGCUUAUAUAAGGCAGUCUGUUCGACCGUUAAAAAUUUACAUGAUUUGAGUUCAGAUCGGUGCAAGCCAGAUCGGUUUCUAUCUGCUAUAAUAAAUCAAUAGUACGAAAGGACCUUAAUUUAUGAUAAAAU